GGCAACGGUGAAACUCAAAGGAAUUGACGGGGGCCCGCACAAGCGGAGGAACAUGUGGUUUAAUUCGAUGAUACGCGAGGAACCUUACCCGGGCUUGAAUUGCAUCUGAAUAACUUCAAAAGGAGUUAGCCGCAAGGCAGAUGUGAAGGUGCUGCAUGGUUGUCGUCAGCUCGUGCCGUGAGGUGUCGGCUUAAGUGCCAUAACGAGCGCAACCCUAAUUUCCAGUUACUAUCAGGUUAUGCUGAGGACUCUGGAGAGACUGCCGUCGUAAGAUGUGAGGAAGGUUGGGAUGACGUCAAAUCAGCACGGCCCUUACGUCCGGGGCUACACACGUGUUACAAUGGGUGGUACAGAAGGCAGCUACACGGCGACGUGAUGCUAAUCCCAAAAACCACUCUCAGUUCGGAUUGGAGUCUGCAACUCGACUCCAUGAAGCUGGAUUCGCUAGUAAUCGCGCAUCAGCCAUGGCGCGGUGAAUACGUUCCCGGGCCUUGUACACACCGCCCGUCAAGCCAUGAAAGCCGCGGGUACCUGAAGUACGUAACCGUAAGGAUCGUCCUAGGGUAAAUGUGGUAAUUGGGGCUAAGUCGUAACAAGGUA
This 600-nucleotide ribosomal RNA is filed under the name uncultured Bacteroides sp. RNAcentral describes it as "bacterial SSU rRNA". It matches the Rfam family "Bacterial small subunit ribosomal RNA", at positions 887 to 1498 of the family's 1533-position model. Lineage: Bacteria; Pseudomonadati; Bacteroidota; Bacteroidia; Bacteroidales; Bacteroidaceae. The record is from RNAcentral.